Small nuclear RNA from Myotis lucifugus (little brown bat), 107 nucleotides. Lineage: Eukaryota; Metazoa; Chordata; Mammalia; Chiroptera; Vespertilionidae. The record is from Ensembl.
GUGCUCGCUUCGGCAGCACAUAUACUGAAAUUGGAACGAUACAGAGAAGAUUAGCAUGGCCCCUGCACAAGGAUGACAUGCAAAUUCGUGAAGCGUUCCAUAUUAAA